RNAcentral lists this ribosomal RNA (1292 nucleotides) under Niphargus krameri. RNAcentral describes it as "eukaryotic LSU rRNA". It matches the Rfam family "Eukaryotic large subunit ribosomal RNA", at positions 1357 to 2213 of the family's 3401-position model. The record is from RNAcentral. Lineage: Eukaryota; Metazoa; Arthropoda; Malacostraca; Amphipoda; Niphargidae.
AAGGCUUCAGUACGACCCAGUCAGAACUAUAAGUCUCAAAGCCCCGACGAGUAGGGUGGCGUGCCGGUGCGCGUUGAAGGCCAAGACGUGAGUCAGGCUGGAGCCGCCGGUAGUGCAGAUCUUGGUGGUAGUAGCAAGUACUCUGGUGAACCAACCUGGAGCUGUGAGGUCUGGAUUAGGGUUCCAUGUCAACAGUGAUUGAACAUGGGUGAGUCGAACCUAAGCCAACUGUGAAAGCAGUGACAUCCCGACAAAGGGGCAUUACGUGCGCUGCACUUACACCCCCAAAGCAAAAGCUGGCUAUCUCUCUCUGUAUGGUACGGAAAUACGCAUAGAUAAGGAGGGGGCGCACACAUGGUGAUCGCUACAAAGCGUGAGUGUGUGCGCUUGUUUGUCUCGUUACGCUCACAAGCGUUGAACUGUUUUUUUUUUUUUNNNNNNNNNNNNNNNNGAUAGUGGGUGAGCGUGAGUUUGCUCUUGCAUGAGCCCCCUGCGUCUGGUUCUAUGUCUGGCGAAAGGGAAUGGGGACUUUGUUCCUUGACCGGUCCCGGCACCCUCGAUUGGCUCUGCCAAUUAAUGGUCCAUGCAAAUGGAACCAGGCCACAGCCGUCGGCAGUCGCCCGAGGAAGAGUUUUCUUUUCUGCUUAACGCACGAGAUCAUCCCUGGAAACAGUUCGGCUGGCGAAAGGGUGCCCCGCUGCGGCAGAGCGCCACGACUGUCGUGCGCGUCUCGGUGUUCCUGCCGGUCCGUGAAGACGUGGUCGAGGGGAAUGCUCUUGUAUCAACGAAACGCCCGACAAGUUCGGGACGGACCGUACCCUAUAUCCGCAUCUGGUCUCCAAGGUUCGUAGCCUCUGCAGAGUCAGACACAUGUAGGUAAGGGAAGUCGGCAAACUCGAUCCGUAACUUCGGGAAAAGGAUUGGCUCUGAGGGCCGAGCUGGGCCGGGCCUUGCCUGCAAAGCAGUACCUAUAGUGACCGGAGUUUCAGGAGUGCGAGGGGCUCUAGUAACUGCUUGCUCGCCUUCGCGCGUGUGAGUACGAACGAGUCCACCUCUCCGCUCCAACCACGAACGGCUGUGACGGCAAGGGCUCUGGGCGGGAGCGAUCGAUCCGUUGGCCUCCAGCUCGUCUGGUUGGCGGCGGUGCUCCGUCUGUCCCAUACGGCUCCAGCAGCUAGCGGCUAACUCAGAACUGUCAUGGACCAAGGGAAUCCGACUGUCUAAUUAAAACAAAGCGUCGUGAUGGCCCGUGUUGGGUGUUGACGCGACGUGAUUUCUGCCCAGUGCUCUAA